CCUACGGGAGGCAGCAGUAGGGAAUAUUGCUCAAUGGGGGAAACCCUGAAGCAGCAACGCCGCGUGGCGGAUGAAGGUUUUCGGAUUGUAAACUCCUUUUGUUAGAGAAGAUAAUGACGGUAUCUAACGAAUAAGCACCGGCUAACUCCGUGCCAGCAGCCGCGGUAAUACGGAGGGUGCAAGCGUUACUCGGAAUCACUGGGCGGAAAGAGCGCGUAGGCGGGAUAGCAAGUCAGAUGUUAAAACCUAUGGCUUAACCAUAGAACUGCAUUUGAAACUGUUAUUCUAGAGUAUGGGAGAGGUAGGUGGAAUUCUUGGUGUAGGGGUAAAAUCCGUAGAGAUCAAGAGGAAUACUCAUUGCGAAGGCGACCUGCUAGAACAUAACUGACGCUGAUGCGCGAAAGCGUGGGGAGCAAACAGGAUUAGAUACCCCAGUAGUC
RNAcentral lists this ribosomal RNA (440 nucleotides) under uncultured bacterium. RNAcentral describes it as "partial 16S ribosomal RNA". It matches the Rfam family "Bacterial small subunit ribosomal RNA", at positions 338 to 795 of the family's 1533-position model. The record is from RNAcentral.